This 75-nucleotide transfer RNA is filed under the name Methanoregulaceae archaeon PtaB.Bin056. Its description in RNAcentral is "tRNA-Val". It matches the Rfam family "tRNA". Rfam says of the family: Transfer RNA (tRNA) molecules are approximately 80 nucleotides in length. RNAcentral also lists the same sequence under 1 other name. The record is from RNAcentral. Lineage: Archaea; Methanobacteriati; Methanobacteriota; Methanomicrobia; Methanomicrobiales; Methanoregulaceae.
GGGCCCGUGGUCUAGUCGGUUAUGACGUCGCCCUUACACGGCGGAGGUCGCCGGUUCGAAUCCGGCCGGGCCCAC